UCAAUUCAAAUCCAACCUUAAUUAUAAAAAUAAUUGUCCAAGUUCAAAAAAAAGUCGAACACCCGAGUUUCGGAUUACCUAACUCAAAUUGCACCGCUGCAUGAUCAAUUUAAAAGUAGUAGUCUGAUACGGAGUAUCAUCAUUUUCCCCAAAAAAACAAAAAAAAAAUUAUCAUUUCUCUCUCUAACCACACUCAAGAGAAGAGUACACGCAGGAGGGAUGCGACACAUAUAGGGAGGAUACAGAGAGAGGGAGGGAGCACAUCGGCGAUAUGCUGAAAGUCGCUGGGAGCUCUAGCGAGAUUAAUUUCUGAGCGAUCGCAUAGGAUGAUCAACGCGCUAGGGUUUUGCAAUCAAUAAAUUUCAAUUGCGAUUGCAUUUACUUAGUGAUCCAAGAAAACAUAUUCAGGUUAUUCAAUUGCGAUUGGGUUUGCUGUGGAGAUUUCUGCUACAACAGACGGCGCCAACGCUCCCGACGAAGACGCUCCCGUCGUUGAUGUAUUUUCUACGCAAUUCCAACAAAAGGACGUCCAGCGAGAGUUUGUUCCGGCGUUACCUCUUUAAGGAAGUGAUGGCGGUACCACACUGAAAGUAAAUAGAGGGCCUACGGUGGAGAAGGGGCUUCAUCCAGCAGAGGGGUAGAGCCUGAGAAAGGAAAGGCAAUGGUCGGAAUCGGAGGAGUCAGAAAAGUGGGAGGGUAAGAGAAACGGGGAGAGCCCGUUCUCGCCACCAUCCUUGUCGCCGGCCUCGGUGAGUCACCGCUGCGGUUCACGCCGAAAAUUUCAGCAUCAGGUCGGAUAUUAUUUCUGCGUCAAGCCGGAAUAAAGAAGUAAGCCAAGCAUUACUGCCCAUGAAAUUUAUUCCAGCAACAGCCGAAAAUUCAGGCCGAAAUUUAUUCCUACAUCAGACCGGAAAUUUCAGUUCUCAACCCAUUGCCGGAAAUUUCAUUAGUUCAUGAAAUUACAAAAAAAAAAAUGAGAGAUACGUAUCAUCUCCUCAUACGAGUAAUUUUUUCAAACUGAAUUUAUUAGCAAAUUGAAUUUAUUAGCCAAAGUUGAUGUAAAAGCAUGGUCCAUCAUAUCAUAUAAUAGCAAAUUAAUAACAUAAAUUUAUAUUUUGUUUAAAUGUAAUAAAAAUAUUUUCUAUUGCGUAGGCUGGACCUGCUGGUGUGUUCACACGCAUGGAAGUAUUUUCAUCCAUACACCGUAGGCCACUGUCUCUCUCUCUCUAGAUUUGAACACACAAUCAAACAGGUCAUCAAUGCAGCUCAAAUAACAGUACCUUAUAAGCAUUGGUUGUGAAUUAUAUUGCAAAUGUGCUGGCAUACACAGCUCAUGUAAAUUUGAUUACUAAGCACGAGUACAAGGGAAAAAAAAAUGGAGGAGUUGACAUUUAAGAAUUUACAUUAUCAGUUUUGCCUCUUUGUUUUCAUUUAGGUUCUCUUCAGACUCAUUCAGUUGAUUCUUCCUUUGAGUUUUCCAUAAUCCAAAUGUGUUGCAAGUCCAAUGUAGGAGCCCCAAUGUAUCGCCUUGCCA
Long non-coding RNA from Cornus florida, 1534 nucleotides. RefSeq lists it as uncharacterized. NCBI's taxonomy places the organism in Eukaryota, Viridiplantae, Streptophyta, Magnoliopsida, Cornales, Cornaceae. The record is from RefSeq and is a predicted model, not a curated record. The transcript is spliced from 3 exons.